Molecule: ribosomal RNA, 465 nt
Filed under: Vreelandella stevensii
Lineage: Bacteria; Pseudomonadati; Pseudomonadota; Gammaproteobacteria; Oceanospirillales; Halomonadaceae
Description: partial 16S ribosomal RNA
Rfam family: Bacterial small subunit ribosomal RNA
Source: RNAcentral
CCUACGGGGGGCUGCAGUGGGGAAUAUUGGACAAUGGGGGCAACCCUGAUCCAGCCAUGCCGCGUGUGUGAAGAAGGCCCUCGGGUUGUAAAGCACUUUCAGUGAGGAAGAACGCCUGGUGGUUAAUACCCAUCAGGAAAGACAUCACUCACAGAAGAAGCACCGGCUAACUCCGUGCCAGCAGCCGCGGUAAUACGGAGGGUGCGAGCGUUAAUCGGAAUUACUGGGCGUAAAGCGCGCGUAGGUGGCUUGAUAAGCCGGUUGUGAAGGCCCCGGGCUCAACCUGGGAACGGCAUCCGGAACUGUCAAGCUAGAGUGCAGGAGAGGAAGGUAGAAUUCCCGGUGUAGCGGUGAAAUGCGUAGAGAUCGGGAGGAAUACCAGUGGCGAAGGCGGCCUUCUGGACUGACACUGACACUGAGGUGCGAAAGCGUGGGUAGCAAACAGGAUUAGAUACCCCUGUAGUC